UGGGGAAUAUUGGACAAUGGGCGAAAGCCUGAUCCAGCCAUGCCGCGUGUGUGAAGAAGGUCUUCGGAUUGUAAAGCACUUUAAGUUGGGAGGAAGGGCAUUAACCUAAUACGUUAGUGUUUUGACGUUACCGACAGAAUAAGCACCGGCUAACUCUGUGCCAGCAGCCGCGGUAAUACAGAGGGUGCAAGCGUUAAUCGGAAUUACUGGGCGUAAAGCGCGCGUAGGUGGUAUGUUAAGUUGGAUGUGAAAUCCCCGGGCUCAACCUGGGAACUGUAUUCAAAACUGACUGACUAGAGUAUGGUAGAGGGUGGUGGAAUUUCCUGUGUAGCGGUGAAAUGCGUAGAUAUAGGAAGGAACACCAGUGGCGAAGGCGACCACCUGGACUAAUACUGACACUGAGGUGCGAAAGCGUGGGGAGCAAACA
This 427-nucleotide ribosomal RNA is filed under the name uncultured bacterium. Its description in RNAcentral is "partial 16S ribosomal RNA". It matches the Rfam family "Bacterial small subunit ribosomal RNA", at positions 355 to 774 of the family's 1533-position model. The record is from RNAcentral.